Molecule: ribosomal RNA, 253 nt
Filed under: uncultured bacterium
Lineage: Bacteria
Description: partial 16S ribosomal RNA
Rfam family: Bacterial small subunit ribosomal RNA
Source: RNAcentral
UACGUAGGGUGCAAGCGUUGUCCGGAAUUAUUGGGCGUAAAGAGCUUGUAGGCGGUUUGUCGCGUCUGCUGUGAAAUUUCGGGGCUCAACCCCGAACUUGCAGUGGGUACGGGCAGGCUAGAGUGUGGUAGGGGAGACUGGAAUUCCUGGUGUAGCGGUGAAAUGCGCAGAUAUCAGGAGGAACACCGAUGGCGAAGGCAGGUCUCUGGGCCACUACUGACGCUGAGGAGCGAAAGCGUGGGGAGCGAACAGG